This 497-nucleotide ribosomal RNA is filed under the name uncultured bacterium. RNAcentral describes it as "partial 16S ribosomal RNA". It matches the Rfam family "Bacterial small subunit ribosomal RNA", at positions 28 to 507 of the family's 1533-position model. The record is from RNAcentral.
GAUGAACGCUGGCGGCGUGCCUAAUACAUGCAAGUCGAGCGAACAGACGAGGAGCUUGCUCCUUUGACGUUAGCGGCGGACGGGUGAGUAACACGUGGGUAACCUACCUAUAAGGCUGGGAUAACUUCGGGAAACCGGAGCUAAUACCGGAUAAUAUUUCGAACCGCAUGGUUCGAUAGUGAAAGAUGGCUUUGCUAUCACUAUUAGAUGGACCUGCGCCGUAUUAGCUAGUUGGUAAGGUAACGGCUUACCAAGGCAACGAUACGUAGCCGACCUGAGAGGGUGAUCGGCCACACUGGAACUGAGACACGGUCCAGACUCCUACGGGAGGCAGCAGUAGGGAAUCUUCCGCAAUGGGCGAAAGCCUGACGGAGCAACGCCGCGUGAGUGAUGAAGGUCUUCGGAUCGUAAAACUCUGUUAUUAGGGAAGAACAAACGUGUAAGUAACUGUGCACGUCUUGACGGUACCUAAUCAGAAAGCCACGGCUAACUACGUG